UGAUUAAUUGCACCUGUGUCUCGUUGCCCCACCUCAGUGUAUUUAGUCCGGGUUUUCUCCUUUGUUCGGUGUCAGUUCGUUGUCAUGAUCAUUUGCAUCAGCAGUGGUUUGUGGUUUAAAUGUCAGGUGUCCCAGCCUUGUUUCCUGCGCUUCUCCUGAGUCUCUUGGAUUUAUUUCUGCAUUUGCUUGGACCUCGCCUGGACUUUUGGAUUUCGUCUAUCGCCUGCUCCUUGUCUGAUUUGUUUGCUUGUCUCGGACUGCCCUCCUGAUUUGGACCUCUGCCUGCCUGACUACACGUUGAUAAGCUGUCUCUGCUCGUGGUGUCGUGAUGGUACUGAUGAUGGGAAACAAACAACCUAGCAACCAAGCAGCCGCGUCCAAUUACCUGUCUCAGGUGAUUUCAAAUCAAAAAGCCUCUGAUCUCUGAUCAGCCUCCUGAACUCUGCCUGCGGAGGAAACAGAGGUUCAGCUGACGACAACCCUUCAGCUGCCCAAACAGGCCUGCAGAGGAUUCACUCUGACUCUACAUGUAACCAUGGAGACCAGGUUCAGACUCUAAUCGUGUCUGAAUGGAUGGAUGGAGGAUGGAUUGGAUGGAUGGAGGCUUCAGCUCUGAGGGAUUCUUGUUUCUGUGUCGCUGGUCGGGAGCCGACUGUCAGCUGAGGAAGGGGGGCCAAUAAAUAAAACCUGAACAGAAGAAGAAGAAGGCGGCGGCGGCGGGGGGGGCGGCGUCCCCCGAUGGGACUCGACUGACUGCUCUCAUUGUUUCCUGAGAAGGAGGGUAAAACAGUUCUCCUCCUCUGCUGGAAAACAGCAGGGAUGAAAAGACCUUUCCGUCCAAUCAGGUGCCUUCAGUGGAGUGAAAGUCAGGAGCCUCCAUCCAGAUCUGACCGUGUGGUUCAUAAACCCAUUCAGGACACACAAUCUACAGAUCUGUAUUUAUAUAUUUUUUUAAUUGUUUUAACUUGUGCUACGCUUUUCUUUCCUAUUUCCUAUGUGUUUCACUGCUGUGCAACCAACAGCCCUCUGAGGAUAAUUGAUUUGAUUGAUUGCAGCCUCUAAGAUUAGUGAAACCUACAAAGAAUCGACAUCUGAAACAUUAUUUUUAGUCUUACAGUCAUCGAGGAGCAGCUGUUGACACACUGAAGAUGGGGGCACAGAUUUAAAGAAGGGGGGUACAUUUGUAAAAUUUGUAAAAAAAAAAAAAAAAAAUGUGUUAUGACUCCAUUUUAAAGCCCUGGUUCUUGGUGAUAACGUCAAAUCAACAACUUUGAAUAUUCUAAUAUGAAAUAAUAUCAAUAAAUAGCUGCUAUUUGUAACUCCAAAUAGCCUACAGGCCAAGGCAGAUUGGCAGACAGUGGUCCCUGGACAGAGACAUGUAAAAGGCCCCCCCACCCCUCCAUCAGAGGACAGUGUUUCCCCUAUAUGCAUUCAACAGCAGCGCAGUGCCACAGCUAAAUGAUUAGCACCGCUGCUUUAUAAAAAUCUGCCCAAACACAAUGAACUUGGUAUCUCUACUUUAAGCAGCCAGAGUCGGGGACGAGCGAGGAUUAUAAAUCAAACGCCCCCAGACAUUGCCACCAUUUAGCGGUCUGUUAUUGGUCGUUCAAAAGCGCAGGUGGCGGCAACGAAGGCUCCGCUGCCGGUCUCGCUACCUACCAAUUACAACGAAGUUAAGCGAAGACGUAGAGUCCACGCGGAACAGCUCAAAGGUAGGCCGCUCCUCUUCAUCGAAGGGGAAGUCUGUUAUUUAGCUGACUGCAUAGUCAGAGAGAUAGAACGUAUGCAUGUAUGUAUGCAUGCAUGCAUGCAUGCAUUACGUUCGCUGUCUAAGUUCCCCCGCUUGUGGGCGUAAUGGGGGUGGUAGAAAUAUCCGUAGCAAAUGUCGGAUCAAAUCCGCGGUUUAUUAAUGAAUGUAACAGCAGGCCUAUGCCUCAGUGGUGUGGGGUUUUACUAGGCUUUGUUUUCUGAUUAACGUUAGCUAAACUAAACUUGUUUGUAACGCGGCAACAGCUGAUAGGUAAAUAGGUAACACUAACAUCAAUAAUCUCCACCAAUUUCCUCCAAGCGUGACUCUUCCUGUCACUACUGUUGUGUUGGAGGAGACAGGUUUAGAUUUGACACGAUGUGAUUUGAUUCGACGUUGUUUGUAUUGUAUUAUAUGUUCAAUAAAAGUGUAUAUUUUAAGUCUUGAAGCAUUUUAUUAAACGUAAUUCGACAUCU
Long non-coding RNA from Siniperca chuatsi (mandarin fish), 2223 nucleotides. RefSeq lists it as uncharacterized. Lineage: Eukaryota; Metazoa; Chordata; Actinopteri; Centrarchiformes; Sinipercidae. The record is from RefSeq and is a predicted model, not a curated record. The transcript has 3 exons.